UUAGCAUUGGCAGAAGUGCUGGAAGCUCAGAAAGCCACAGCUUCAUUUGUGAAAGGUUUCCCUAGGCAAAGAGAACUAAAGAUGUCUUCUUUCCAGUCCCUUUGUGCAAGGAAGGUAGUACUACCUGCUACCUCAUAAGGAGGAGGAAUCUGCCCUGACAAAUAUUUUCGUGUUCUGACCUCUAUGAUUUAUUAACCAUCAACUUCUGCCUUGAGAAAUCAAGAUGUCAUUUCCUUAGUAAUUCCUUAGGAAAAAAAAAGAUUUACUGGGCAAAAGGGAUCCUUCAAAAUCAGAUUAAACUUGGAUUGUUUGAAGAGUGCGGAGAUAUUUCACGGUAGUGCAAAAAGUGCAUAAGAAGAGAGCAAAAUGAGAGCUUCCCAAGUACCGAAUGCCUGCAGUCUGUUAUCUUUAGCAAUGCUGUUCCUUCCCGUCACUGGAACGUCAAAACAAAAUAUCCCAAGACUCAAACUUUCCUAUAAAGGU
Long non-coding RNA from Lagopus leucura (white-tailed ptarmigan), 483 nucleotides. RefSeq lists it as uncharacterized. NCBI's taxonomy places the organism in Eukaryota, Metazoa, Chordata, Aves, Galliformes, Phasianidae. The record is from RefSeq and is a predicted model, not a curated record. The transcript has 3 exons.